CCUAAAGGCGUAAUGAAAGUAAAGGUCGUCCUUGUGUCGACUGAGGGAGGAUGGGCUAUGUUACGAGAUAGCUCCGCACUCCCGGGGCGUCUCAUUCUCAUUGCGAGAAGAGGCGCACCUAGAGCGUACACGUUGGGACCCGAAAGAUGGUGAACUAUGCCUGGUCAGGACGAAGUCAGGGGAAACCCUGAUGGAGGUCCGUAGCGAUUCUGACGUGCAAAUCGAUCGUCGGAACUGGGUAUAGGGGCGAAAGACUAAUCGAACCAUCUAGUAGCUGGUUCCCUCCGAAGUUUCCCUCAGGAUAGCUGGCACUCAUAUUGUUACGAGUCUCAUCUGGUAAAGCGAAUGAUUAGAGGCCUUGGGGCCGAAACGACCUCAACCUAUUCUCAAACUUUAAAUGGGUGAGAUCUCUGGCUUGCUUGAAUAUAUGAAGCCAUGAGAUAUUAUUAUAUUGGAUCAGAGUGCCAAGUGG
This 472-nucleotide ribosomal RNA is filed under the name Bracon sp. BJS-2011. Its description in RNAcentral is "eukaryotic LSU rRNA". It matches the Rfam family "Eukaryotic large subunit ribosomal RNA", at positions 707 to 1129 of the family's 3401-position model. The record is from RNAcentral. Lineage: Eukaryota; Metazoa; Arthropoda; Insecta; Hymenoptera; Braconidae.